Molecule: ribosomal RNA, 469 nt
Filed under: uncultured bacterium
Lineage: Bacteria
Description: partial 16S ribosomal RNA
Rfam family: Bacterial small subunit ribosomal RNA
Source: RNAcentral
GAUGAACGCUGGCGGCGUGCUUAACACAUGCAAGUCGAACGAUGAUCCCCCGCUUGCGGGGGUGAUUAGUGGCGAACGGGUGAGUAAUACGUAAGUAACCUGCCCUUGACUCUGGGAUAAGCCUGGGAAACAGGGCCUAAUACUUGAUACUACUUCUUGCCGCAUGGAGGGGGGUGGAGAGGGUUUUACUGGUUUUGGCUGGGCUCACGGCGUAUCGGCUUGUUGGUGGAGUAAUGGCUAACCAAGGUGACGAAGGGUAGCCGGCCUGAGAGGGUGACCGGCCGCCCUGGGUCCUAGGCACGGCCCAGAUUCCGAAUGGAGGCAGCAGGGGGGAAGCUUGCACGAGGGGCGGAAGCCUGAUGCUGCGACGCCGCGUGUGGGAUGACGGCCUUAGGAGUGUAAACCACAUUCGGCAGGGAAGAUGCCACAAGUGACGGUACCUGCAGAAAAAGCGCCGGCUAACUACGUG